RNAcentral lists this long non-coding RNA (1334 nucleotides) under Lingula anatina. RNAcentral's name for it is "uncharacterized LOC106162154, transcript variant X1". Lineage: Eukaryota; Metazoa; Brachiopoda; Lingulata; Lingulida; Lingulidae. The record is from RNAcentral.
UCGAUUUUUAGAGAGGGGACGAAGAAGUUUCUUUGUUGUAACAACUUCACUGGAGUCGGGAGGUAAACAAAAAUGGCGGAUGCGGGCUACCUCGAUUCUGAAGCACCCUUAAAAAUUUAUAGGGCGUUUAUUCACUAGGUCCUAGACUGCAGGUUAAAUAUUUAAGCAGAGGUAGUAGCGCGUAAAGCAAAGGAACGAUUAGAAGGUUUGAAAGAAAGAAGCGCCCGUGUACGUGAAUCAUUCGGCGAGCCAUCGGCUCCACCCAAGUGUUUUGGUAGCAGAUUUAGCGGUUGCAGCCUGUAGCACCAGAACUCGUUUGAACAACAAAGCGGCAGCUGAACGUUUGACGCCUGUACCUGAUUCAAUUCAUCCAUUUUCCACAAUGCUAACACAGUGCAUCAAAGUAAAUAAAAGCCAGGUGAUAGCUAAACGGCCUAGCUGUUCGUCGAGUUUGGGGACACGCGUGAUGUUCUUCUUAACAGUAUAAUUGGAUUUACUGCCGUGAGAAGGGGACUAGAGCCUGUCGUGUUGGCAGUAGGACUGGCGUUUAGGGACAGGGUAACUUCCCUUUUCCUGAAACGCACGAAAAGCGCCCUGGAUAUGCUAUAUGCACAGACACAGGCAAGCAAGUUCUAUCCUUCAAUGCCAUGUUAAUUAAAGGAUAUUUUCAAAGAUAACUAUGGCGAAUCAUCUUUUUAAUAAACGAGUCUUGAAAAUGUUUCAUUUUUGACAACAAUUAAAGUUGCAGUGAAAAACGGAACCUACGAAGAACGAAAUGAGAAUUUGAAUCUUGAUCGAAAAAAGUUAACUAAUGAUUUGUAUUGUUAGUAAACAGUCGAGUAUUGAUUUAGCUUUUUUUUUCUGGAUCGUCCGGGGCAUACAGUUCUCCUGCUUUUUGUACACCCUAGUGAUAUCUAACUGACUAACAAAAACGACUUUGAGUUUUGAGAUGUGUCAGUCUCGCUGGAAGGGAAAUGCAAAGGUAUGAGAGAAAUUACCAGUAAAUGUACAUCACAUGUUCUUAAAAUCUGCCUCCGGAUCGACUUCUUUUUUAUGUAUAUAUCUUUAAAGCUAGUUAAUAAUAUAUUUUGUAUUGCCAUUGAAUCUAAUUGAAAUUGCUGAAACAAUUUUAAGCCAGGUAAUAAAAUUAGAAAAAAAAUGAAGCAAAAAACUUUUUUUAAAGUAGGAAAAACAAUGAAAUCAAUUCUCUUUCCUACCAGUACAGUGCAAAUAAAGCAUAUCUAAAGACAAGAUUGCGUGAUAUGGAUACCAACUGAGCAAGAAAGGAAGACCUUUGUUGAAAUAAUGUUUCUUUUAUAUUUAUGGUAUUUACG